Molecule: ribosomal RNA, 501 nt
Filed under: uncultured bacterium
Lineage: Bacteria
Description: bacterial SSU rRNA
Rfam family: Bacterial small subunit ribosomal RNA
Source: RNAcentral
AAUGAACGCUGGCGGCGCGCCUAAUACAUGCAAGUCGAGCGAGAAGACGUAGCAAUACGUUUGUAAAGCGGCGAACGGGUGAGGAAUACAUGGGUAACCUACCCUCGAGUGGGGAAUAACUAGCCGAAAGGUUAGCUAAUACCGCGUACGCUCCUUGGACUUUGGUUCAGGGAGGAAAGCGAUACCGUGGGUAUCGCGCUCUUGGUUGGGCUCAUGUCCUAUCAGCUUGUUGGUGAGGAACGGCUCACCAAGGCUUCGACGGGUAGCUGGUCUGAGAGGACGAUCAGCCACACUGGCACUGCGACACGGGCCAGACUCCUACGGGAGGCAGCAGUAAGGAAUAUUGCGCAAUGGGCGAAAGCCUGACGCAGCGACGCCGCGUGGGGGAUGAAGGUCUUCGGAUUUGUAAACCCCUUUCGGGAGGGAAGAUGGAACGAGCAAUCGUUCGGACGGUACCUCCAGAGCAGCCACGGCUAACUUCGUGCCAGCAGCCGCCGUAAC